UGCAAGUCGAGCGAACUGAUUAGAAGCUUGCUUCUAUGACGUUAGCGGCGGACGGGUGAGUAACACGUGGGCAACCUGCCUGUAAGACUGGGAUAACUUCGGGAAACCGAAGCUAAUACCGGAUAGGAUCUUCUCCUUCAUGGGAGAUGAUUGAAAGAUGGUUUCGGCUAUCACUUACAGAUGGGCCCGCGGUGCAUUAGCUAGUUGGUGAGGUAACGGCUCACCAAGGCAACGAUGCAUAGCCGACCUGAGAGGGUGAUCGGCCACACUGGGACUGAGACACGGCCCAGACUCCUACGGGAGGCAGCAGUAGGGAAUCUUCCGCAAUGGACGAAAGUCUGACGGAGCAACGCCGCGUGAGUGAUGAAGGCUUUCGGGUCGUAAAACUCUGUUGUUAGGGAAGAACAAGUACGAGAGUAACUGCUCGUACCUUGACGGUACCUAACCAGAAAGCCACGGCUAACUACGUGCCAGCAGCCGCGGUAAUACGUAGGUGGCAAGCGUUAUCCGGAAUUAUUGGGCGUAAAGCGCGCGCAGGCGGUUUCUUAAGUCUGAUGUGAAAGCCCACGGCUCAACCGUGGAGGGUCAUUGGAAACUGGGGAACUUGAGUGCAGAAGAGAAAAGCGGAAUUCCACGUGUAGCGGUGAAAUGCGUAGAGAUGUGGAGGAACACCAGUGGCGAAGGCGGCUUUUUGGUCUGUAACUGACGCUGA
RNAcentral lists this ribosomal RNA (712 nucleotides) under Priestia megaterium. RNAcentral describes it as "bacterial SSU rRNA". It matches the Rfam family "Bacterial small subunit ribosomal RNA", at positions 56 to 749 of the family's 1533-position model. The record is from RNAcentral. Lineage: Bacteria; Bacillati; Bacillota; Bacilli; Caryophanales; Bacillaceae.